GGUCUAGCGGCGGACGGGUGAGUAACGCGUGGGAACGUGCCCUUCUCUACGGAAUAGCCCCGGGAAACUGGGAGUAAUACCGUAUACGCCCUUUGGGGGAAAGAUUUAUCGGAGAAGGAUCGGCCCGCGUUGGAUUAGGUAGUUGGUGAGGUAACGGCUCACCAAGCCGACGAUCCAUAGCUGGUUUGAGAGGAUGAUCAGCCACACUGGGACUGAGACACGGCCCAGACUCCUACGGGAGGCAGCAGUGGGGAAUCUUAGACAAUGGGGGCAACCCUGAUCUAGCCAUGCCGCGUGAGUGAUGAAGGCCUUAGGGUUGUAAAGCUCUUUCAGCUGGGAAGAUAAUGACGGUACCAGCAGAAGAAGCCCCGGCUAACUCCGUGCCAGCAGCCGCGGUAAUACGGAGGGU
This 409-nucleotide ribosomal RNA is filed under the name bacterium AET22/23D. RNAcentral's name for it is "bacterial SSU rRNA". It matches the Rfam family "Bacterial small subunit ribosomal RNA", at positions 89 to 533 of the family's 1533-position model. The record is from RNAcentral.